This 336-nucleotide long non-coding RNA is filed under the name Mytilus galloprovincialis (Mediterranean mussel). Lineage: Eukaryota; Metazoa; Mollusca; Bivalvia; Mytilida; Mytilidae. The record is from RNAcentral.
AAAAAUAAACUCAAUUUCUCAAGGAUUUUAUUUUAACAUUUAUACUUGAAUAUGAUAGGCUUUUAAUUCGAUUUUAAAAAGAGAAAAUUUGGUCAUCUGAGGAAUACUGGAUAACAUUCUCUUCCAUCUGAUAUUCUACUUAAUAAAUAAAAAAUGUUACAUAUUACAUGUGAGGUUCUACAAAUGAGAAUUUUAUAUUUGCAGUAAACACUUAUGAUUUAUUAAUGUUCCUUAUGUUCAUCAUGAACUAAUAACAAACCAAUUGGGCAAUAAAUAUUUUGUACUAGUAUGACAUUCCAUGGUAAAUCUGUGAUAAUAAAACCAUUGCCAGGCUUA